Molecule: ribosomal RNA, 494 nt
Filed under: uncultured bacterium
Lineage: Bacteria
Description: bacterial SSU rRNA
Rfam family: Bacterial small subunit ribosomal RNA
Source: RNAcentral
AACGCUAGCGACAGGCCUAACACAUGCAAGUCGAGGGGGCAGCACAAGGAGCAAUCUGAGGUGGCGACCGGCGCACGGGUGAGUAACACGUAUGCAACCUGCCUGUAAGCGGGGAAUAACCCGUUGAAAGACGGACUAAUACCGCAUAAUACUAAAUUACUGCAUGGUAAUUUAUUUAAACAUUUAUGGCUUACAGAUGGGCAUGCGCAUGAUUAGCUAGUUGGAGAGGUAACGGCUCCCCAAGGCAACGAUCAUUAGGGGUUCUGAGAGGAAGGUCCCCCACACUGGUACUGAGACACGGACCAGACUCCUACGGGAGGCAGCAGUGAGGAAUAUUGGUCAAUGGACGAGAGUCUGAACCAGCCAAGUCGCGUGCAGGAAGAAUGUUCCCUAUGGAUUGUAAACUGCUUUUGCAGGGGAAUAAAGUGCAUCACGUGUGAUGUUUUGUAUGUACUCUGCGAAUAAGGAUCGGCUAACUCCGUGCCAGCAGCCGC